AAGUGAUAAAAAAUUCAACUCUUCUAAGGAAGGUAAGUGAAUCACACUCCGCUCAAAGGGUGGAAUAAAUUACAAAGGAAAAAGACACAAAGAGAAAGGUAAACCAGGGAGAUGAGAUGGUUUGUAGCUCUGGAAGAUGGUGGUGUAACUGUAUUCUUCAGCCACCACCCCCCAUUUAAUAUUUGAAUUUUAAGAAGGUUAAACUAGAAUAGUUGGGGAAUAAUUCACUGACCGUUGACCAAUGACUUAGAAUGUUUAAAAAGGAACCCCAAUGGGAUCCCUGUAUUUGAUGCCGUAGUGGUGGGCCAGUAGAAGAUCCCCACAUCGGGUGGCAUUGGUGAGGCACUUAACGAAUUCUCAUGGUUGCUCUCAUUCUCACACUAACACACCUCUCAAAAGGCCAUUCAUGAGGAAGGGAUGGGGAUUCAGCAAAAACCUGCUCCUGCAGAAAGAAGGAAGCUCAAUGUUCCGUUAGAAGCAUUCAGUUUGUUCGGCAAAGUCCUCAAAGAGGGGAAGAAGAGAGAAGACACUGAGCACUCCGUCCUAGGCAUGGAAAUGGCAAGGCGCCAUAUUUUGUGUAUAAUUCUGUGGUAAAAUCAGUAACAAUUAGCUUAUCAUUCCAUGUGCAUCUGUCCUGGAAAAAAAGAGGAAAACACCUAGAUGCCACAACACUUUCUUUCCUCAAACAACUGGCUCCAUGUUUCCUUUGUUUUUCAGGAAGCGAUGAAGGGUUCAUCAGUGCUGAGGAAGCAAGUGAGAACAGUUCCCAUAAUAAGGAACAUACAUGGAUUUCUUCGCUGAAAAUGAAACUGACUUUGGGAGACUUCCGAGGUUUACAAAAUGCAAACAAAAAAGUAUUGGAAAAAUGUCAAGAUGACUACAAAGCAGUCUCGGGUGAGUGUUGCUUUCCCGUUGCAUCUUUACUCCAAAUGACUGAGGCAGGAAUGGGCAUGAGAUGGUUGAACUGAGACAUGUACAUACAUCUAUAUGUCCAAGAGUUUAGGCCAAGGACAGGCUUUUUUUGAAACAGAGCAAAAUCAUCCAGGAAGGCUCUAUGACUUGUGGAAACUGCCCUCUCAUCAUCUCUAGAAGGGCAGUGGAGAAACACAGUCCUCCAGGGUCUCCUGGGGUUCCUAUGCAGCCCCCUGGCCUUCCAUGUUUGCCUAUCUCUGAUUGAAGGGCUCUCACUUGGUCAUAGUAUUUCUGGGCAAUUGCGUUCCACUAGUGUAUUUCAGAGCCAGUGUGGAGUAGUGAUGUGAACAUUAGAUUAGGACUAUGAAAACCAGGGUUUUACGUCCUCACUCAGCCAUUCACACAAAGUGUGAGAACCUAUCCACCAUAGAUGUGUGGGUUCUACUUUAUAAAUAUCAGAAGCUGAAAGAGCAUCCACGGUGCUUUAUAUGAAAACAAAGAAGGAGCAAAAUGGCAACUGCCAACAAGCCACAUGUAAUUGAAUGCAUUUGACCAGUUUUUAUGGAAUAUAAUCACAAAGUGAUCUGAAACAUGCACGAGUUGUUGUACUCACUCAAUAACAGGGAUCUUGAUUUUGGAAGGCAUAUGCCUUUGCAGAUUAGCUCUUUUAGAGCUAUUUAAGGAUAAAUUUAAUUACAUUUCAACUCUGAGAAGCAUAUUAUUUCAGAGCUUCCUUGAUUGCAUGGUGUAAAUGAAUCAAAGAAAUAACUGGAUAAAUAAAAUACUGUUUCUUCUAAGUGAAGAAAAUUAAUUCAAUCAAGUACACUUGCUUUUUGGAGCAGAACCUGAGAU
Long non-coding RNA from Anolis carolinensis (green anole), 1764 nucleotides. The record is from Ensembl. NCBI's taxonomy places the organism in Eukaryota, Metazoa, Chordata, Lepidosauria, Squamata, Anolidae.